Molecule: ribosomal RNA, 427 nt
Filed under: uncultured beta proteobacterium
Lineage: Bacteria; Pseudomonadati; Pseudomonadota; Betaproteobacteria
Description: bacterial SSU rRNA
Rfam family: Bacterial small subunit ribosomal RNA
Source: RNAcentral
UGGGGAAUUUUGGACAAUGGGCGAAAGCCUGAUCCAGCCAUGCCGCGUGAGUGAAGAAGGCCUUCGGGUUGUAAAGCUCUUUUAGUCGGAAAGAAAGAGUUGCAAUGAAUAAUUGUGAUUUAUGACGGUACCGACGGAAAAAGCACCGGCUAACUACGUGCCAGCAGCCGCGGUAAUACGUAGGGUGCGAGCGUUAAUCGGAAUUACUGGGCGUAAAGGGUGCGCAGGCGGUCUUGCAAGUCAGAUGCGAAAGCCCCGGGCUUAACCUGGGAAUUGCGUUUGAAACUACAAGGCUAGAGUGCAGCAGAGGGGAGUGGAAUUCCAUGUGUAGCAGUGAAAUGCGUAGAGAUGUGGAAGAACACCGAUGGCGAAGGCAGCUCCCUGGGUUGACACUGACGCUCAUGCACGAAAGCGUGGGGAGCAAACA